Molecule: unclassified non-coding RNA, 618 nt
Filed under: Hevea brasiliensis (rubber tree)
Lineage: Eukaryota; Viridiplantae; Streptophyta; Magnoliopsida; Malpighiales; Euphorbiaceae
Source: RNAcentral
AUUCCAUAACUAUAAACAUCUCCGCAUGUUGAUGGCUCACUUCCUAGCCCAUAUUCUGGUGCCGCGUAGCCAAUUGUGCCCCUCACUCCGACUGAACUGCUUUGAAUUGGAUUUUCGAGCUGAGAGAGAAACUUUGCUAGCCCAAAAUCUCCAAUGUGAGCGACCAUAUCAUUGUCCAGAAGAAUGUUGCAUGGCUUUAGAUCACAAUGAAUGACUGGCUUUUGGCAACCAUGGUGCAGAUAAUCCAGCGCGCUCCCUACGUCUAUUGCAAUGUUUAUUCUCUGGAGAAAGCUCAAACUCCAUUGUUCAGUUGGCUCAACAUAUACUUCUGAACUUGGAUGCAACCAUUUGUCUAGGUUUCCAUUCGGCAUAUACUCGUAAACAAGUGCCUUAAAAUCGUUCCCCUGGAAAUCAAUACUUGAGCAAGAUGUGAUGGUCCUCACAAGAUUUCGAUGACGUAUAUUUUGCAAGACUUUACAUUCAGCCAGAAAACUUUUUGCAGCUCCUCUCUGUUGAAGGUUGAGUACUUUUACUGCAAAGAUUGCUCCAUCCUCCACAGAAAUGCCUUUAUACACAGACCCAAAGCUUCCCGCACCAAUCAAAUUUGCUGAAGAGAAC